AUGACCAUGGUGACUCCUCGCGCCCCCGAGCCGCCGCCGCAGGACCAGGACGAGGAGAUGCUUGUGCCACAACAGGAAGUGGAGGUCUUCGAGGGACCGCAGCCGAUGGAAGAAUCCAUGCCAGCUGUUGACAAUGAAAGUUUGCCUGAUGCAUCAACUUCCAGAUUUACAUGGAAGAUUGAAAGUAUAUCCAAGCACAGUGGUAGAAAAACUCACUCUGACGUUUUUGUGGUUGGGGGUUACAGCUGGCGAGUGUUGGUUUUCCCCACAGGAAACAAUGUAAAUCACCUUUCAAUGUAUCUGGAUGUUGCUGAUGCUAAGUCUUUACCUACUGGCUGGAGUAGGAGUGCCCAAUUUAGCCUUGCUGUGAUCAACCAAUUAGACAGCAAGCACUCAGUAAGAAAAGAAGUAACACAUACAUUUAAUUCUCGAGAAAGUGAUUGGGGUUUUACGUCCUUUAUGCCUUUAAUUGAUCUAUAUGAUCCUAGUAAAGGUUAUAUUGUGAACGAUCAAUGCAUCAUUGAAGCUGAGGUUGCUGUGCGUAAAAUUGUGGAUUACUGGAACUACGACUCAAAAAAGGAGACUGGUUAUGUUGGUCUCAAGAAUCAAGGUGCCACUUGUUACAUGAAUUCGCUGCUCCAGACACUCUACCAUAUUCCCUACUUUAGGAAGGCCGUGUACCAUAUGCCUACUGUCGAUACACCUUCCGGGAGCAUUCCUUUAGCUUUGCAAAGUCUUUUCUACAGACUUCAGCAUGGUGACAAUAGUAUUUCCACAAAAGAGCUGACUAAAUCUUUUGGAUGGGAUUCCUAUGAGUCGUUUAUGCAGCAUGAUGUCCAAGAGUUAAAUCGGGUUCUAUGUGAAAAGCUGGAGGAUAAAAUGAAGGGAACUAUUGUGGAAGGAACAAUACAAAAAUUAUUUGAAGGUCACCAUAUGAAUUAUAUUGAGUGCAUUGGUGUUGACUACAAAUCUACUAGAAAAGAGUCAUUCUAUGAUCUCGCACUUGAUGUCAAGGGCUGCUCAGAUGUUUAUGCAUCUUUUGAUAAGUAUGUAGCUGUAGAGAUGUUGGAUGGUGAUAAUAAGUAUCAAUCUGAAAAAUACGGCCUGCAGGAUGCCAAGAAAGGGAUGCUUUUUAUUGAUUUCCCUCCAGUUCUGCAACUUCAACUGAAGCGGUUUGAAUAUGAUCAUGCGCGGGAUAUAAUGGUUAAGAUAAACGACCGUUAUGAGUUCCCACUUCAGUUGGAUCUUGACAGAGAUGACGGGAAAUAUCUCUCUCCAGAAGCUGAUAGGAGUGUGCGCAACCUCUAUACUCUUCACAGUGUGCUAGUUCACAGUGGUGGAGUUAGUGGUGGACACUACUAUGCCUUCAUCCGCCCUACCCUUUCUAAUCAAUGGUACAAGUUCGAUGAUGAACGAGUGACAAAAGAAGACACGAAACGGGCGUUGGAGGAGCAGUAUGGUGGCGAGGAAGAGCUCCCCCAUACUAAUCCUGGACUGAAUAUGAACCCACUUAAAUUUACCAAGUAUUCAAAUGCUUACAUGCUUGUGUACAUACGUGAAAGUGACAAAGAGAAAAUUGUUUGUGAUUUGGAAGAGACAGACAUCAAUGAAGACCUUAAGACUAGGCUAAGAAAGGAAGACGAAGACAAGGAGAACAAGAAAAAAGAGAAAGCUGAGGCUCACAUGUUCACUACAUUUAAGGUUGCCAGAGAUCAUGAUUUGGCAGCACAAAUUGGACGAGACAUGUUUUUUGAUCUCGUGGAUUAUGAAAAAAUUCAUCCUAUCCGUGUACUUAAAGACAUGCCAUUCAACCAGGUUAAGGAGGAGUUCUCAAAAGAAUUUGGUAUCCCCGUCCACUCCCAGAGAUUUUGGUGGUGGUCUAAGCGGCAGAACAACACCUACAGGCCCACUCGGCCAUUAACUCAACAGGAGGAAUCAUAUACUGUUGGACAGCUUAAAGAUGCAGCAAUUCGAAUGAACAGUUCUGAAUUGAGGCUGUACUUGGAGGUUGUACAGGAGAAUCAUUUGACUCUUGCUUCGAGGACAAAGGAUGAUAUUUUGCUUUUCUUCAAGCUCUAUGACCCUGAAAAAGAAGAACUAAGAUAUGUUGGGAAUCUUCUCUUGAAAGCAUCAAGUAAGCCAUCUGAUAUAGUGCCAAAAUUGAAUGAGAUAGCAGGAUUUCAGCCUGAUGAAGACAUUGAGUUGUACGAGGAAAUAAAAUUUGAGCCAAAUAUUAUGUGCGAACCAGUUGACUGUGAUGUUUCCUUCAGUUUAAACCAGAUUGCAGAUGGAGACAUAUUGUGCUACCAAAAACGUUGUUCUCUGGACCAACACCGACAUCCCAAUGUAUCUUCUUUCUUUGAAUAUGUCCAUAAUAGACAGGUUGUGCACUUCAGAUUGCUUGAAAAGCCAAAACAAGACGACUUCUCUCUAGAACUAUCAAAACGUUCCACAUAUGAUGAUGUUGUUGAGAAAGUUGCACAACAUCUUGGUAUGGAUGAUCCUUCAAAACUCCGCCUUACUCAGCACAUCCCGCAUUUACAGCAACCGAAACAUCAAUACAUCAAGUAUAGAAGUAUUGAUCAUCUUUCAGAUAUGUUACUUUUACGUAACCCUAAUCAGAUGUCUGACAUUUUAUAUUAUGAAAUACUGGACAUUCCUUUGCCAGAACUGCAAGGUCUGAUAACAUUGAGAGUUGCUUUUCACCAAGCUACACCUAAUGAGGUGCUGUUUCACAUUAUACGAUUGCCAAAGGGUAGCGCUUAUUCUGAUUUGAUCGACGACUUAAAAUCAAAGGUUAAGCUAUCUCGAAGUGACGCUGAGCUUAGGCUAUUUCAGGUCAACAAUAACAAGAUAUGGAAGGUGUACCAGCCUACUGAGAAAAUAGACGCAGUUCAUGAUCCAAAUGUACCUCUUCAUGUUGAGGAGAUUCCCGAAGAAGAGGAAAGUGCCGGUCCGCGAGACCGUUUGGUUCAUGUCGUCCACUUCUUCAAAGAUAACCAGCACAUUCAAUACUAUGGAGUGCCAUUCUUCUUCCUUAUUCGUGAGGGCGAGGCUUUGUCAGAUAUCAAAGUACGCAUUCAGAAGAAAUUUGAGGUUCCAGACGAGCAGUUUCUUAAGUGGAAAUUCGCUUAUGUUGCCUACAAUCGCUCGGAUUACCUCCAAGAUUCAGAUAUUGUAUUGAGCCGAUUCCAGCAGAAAAACAUUUAUGGACCAUGGGAACAAUCCCUAGGACUGGAGCACUCAGACAUGCCCACCAAAAGGGCCAAUCAGAAUCGCCAUUCUUUUGAAAAGCCGGUGAAGAUCUACAACUAA
This 3315-nucleotide ribosomal RNA is filed under the name Triticum aestivum (bread wheat). RNAcentral's name for it is "partial small subunit ribosomal RNA". The record is from RNAcentral. Lineage: Eukaryota; Viridiplantae; Streptophyta; Magnoliopsida; Poales; Poaceae.